GACGAACGCUGGCGGCGUGCUUAACACAUGCAAGUCGAACGGAAAGGCCCUGCUUGCAGGGUACUCGAGUGGCGAACGGGUGAGUAACACGUGGGUGAUCUGCCCUGCACUUCGGGAUAAGCUUGGGAAACUGGGUCUAAUACCGGAUAGGAACCAUCUUUAGUGUGGUGGUUGGAAAGUUUUUUCGGUGUAGGAUGAGCUCGCGGCCUAUCAGCUUGUUGGUGGGGUAAUGGCCUACCAAGGCGGCGACGGGUAGCCGGCCUGAGAGGGUGUACGGCCACAUUGGGACUGGGAUACGGCCCAGACUCCUACGGGAGGCAGCAGUGGGGAAUAUUGCACAAUGGGCGCAAGCCUGAUGCAGCGACGCCGCGUGGGGGAUGAAGGCCUUCGGGUUGUAAACUCCUUUCGCUAGGGACGAAGCUUUGUUGUGACGGUACCUAGAUAAGAAGCACCGGCUAACUACGUG
This 466-nucleotide ribosomal RNA is filed under the name uncultured bacterium. RNAcentral describes it as "partial 16S ribosomal RNA". It matches the Rfam family "Bacterial small subunit ribosomal RNA", at positions 28 to 507 of the family's 1533-position model. The record is from RNAcentral.